This 1302-nucleotide unclassified non-coding RNA is filed under the name Hevea brasiliensis (rubber tree). The record is from RNAcentral. Lineage: Eukaryota; Viridiplantae; Streptophyta; Magnoliopsida; Malpighiales; Euphorbiaceae.
AAAUUUUCCUUUAAUCACCGUUUGGUUUCUGAGAAAACAUCGAAAUCUGAAUUUCCUGUUUAAAAUAGCUAAUUAAGCCCUAACACAACUUUCUGUUCCGAUCCAUUUCUCGUCACUUUUGAUAAUUUCAUAUGCAGAAUAUCUGAGAUUUCAUAUGUUUUAUAUCAUUUAGUUGGAUUUCUUCUAGCCUAUGGUUCGAUGCCAGUGAAUGCGAGUUUGCAAUUAUGUUUGAUGAGCAUUUAAGCUAUCUGUUUGAUGUUAUGCAUGAAAGAGGGGCUAGGUUGAGAUAGCUUUAUGCUAAGAAUUUAAUAGCUUUAUGCUAAGAAUUUAUCUAUAUGGUGUGCUAGGCCCUGCCCCUUUCAGCUUCUUGUGUAAGAGUAGCCGGACAAGGGGUACUCAUCAGCUUAAUUGUCUGUGUUUUUAUAUUUGAAUGAGCCCUUUGGUGUUAAAAGCAAAAAAAAAUUAAAAUAAAAAAAUCUGUUAGUUAUUUGUAUAGGCAGAAACAAUCUUCCAAAUAGAGCAAGGGAAGAGGAAAAAUUAUGAUGAUAUUUAAAAACCCUAGUUGGUAGAGGUGAUUCAUAAAAUUGAAUUAGGAGUCCAUUCAUAGCAGAUCUGACUUCUGAAACUACUUUUAAUAGAUUUAAUCUCAUACACAUUUGGAAAAUAUUGAGGUUUGACUUACUAUGUCGAUGUAAAUAUUGUUUGUGACUUUGUAGGGUAUGGAUACAUCAAAACCUGCAAUUUUUGUUAAUGGAGGACUGUUACCCAUGCAUGUGCGGAAGAGGGUCCGGACUGUCGUUCAGGUUAUCGGAUCUGAUCGUGGAGCUGUAAUAGGAAAAUCAACAGAUGACCAACAACUUUCUGUUAAAGGCGCCCCACCAUCUGUUCCUCUUACAAAUUUUGUUGAGGUUAUUGGCAUUGCUGACAGUGAAAAAUCCAUCCAAGCUGAAAUAUGGACCAACUUUGGGGACACAUUUGAUACAUAUUCCUACAACCAGCUUUGUCAGCUUGCAAAUGGUGAAUAUCAGCUCUUGUUCCUCUGAGGUGUAUUGGCUUUAUUUGUAGUGAAGUUUUGAGGUGCUUUUGGUCCUCGAUGUAACUAGAUGUCGAUGUCAAUAAAUUUUGGCUAGUUUUGAAUCUUUGGUUACUAUUUUGGGUAUUUCUUGAACCAAUAUUUUAGUUGCAAAUUUGGCCCUUCAAAAACCUUAUAUUACUUUAUAAACUUUCUUUCAAAGAGAGGCUUAUAGUUUAAUUAGAAAAAAAAAUUGUAAUUAAGAAUAAAUUAGCAUUUUUUAUUGUCUU